This 388-nucleotide ribosomal RNA is filed under the name uncultured bacterium. Its description in RNAcentral is "bacterial SSU rRNA". It matches the Rfam family "Archaeal small subunit ribosomal RNA", at positions 339 to 726 of the family's 1478-position model. The record is from RNAcentral.
GCGCGAAAACUUUACAAUGCUGGCAACAGCGAUAAGGGAACCUCGAGUGCCAGGUUACAAAUCUGGCUGUCGAGGUGCCUAAAAAAGCAUUUCAUAGCAAGGGCCGGGCAAGACCGGUGCUAGCCGCCGCGGUAACACCGGCGGCUCGAGUGGUAACCGUUAUUAUUGGGUCUAAAGGGUCUGUAGCCGGCCGGAUAAGUCUCUUGAGAAAUCUGGCAGCUUAACUGUCAGGCUUUCAGGAGAUACUGUCUGGCUCGAGGCCGGGAGAGGUGAGAGGUACUUCAGGGGUAGGGGUGAAAUCUUGUAAUCCUUGAAGGACCACCAGUGGCGAAGGCGUCUCACCAGAACGGACCUGACGGCAAGGGACGAAAGCUAGGGGCACGAACCG